This 1343-nucleotide ribosomal RNA is filed under the name uncultured bacterium. RNAcentral's name for it is "16S ribosomal RNA". It matches the Rfam family "Bacterial small subunit ribosomal RNA", at positions 28 to 1378 of the family's 1533-position model. The record is from RNAcentral.
GACGAACGCUGGCGGCGUGCUUAACACAUGCAAGUCGAACGGAAAGGCCCUGCUUUUGUGGGGUGCUCGAGUGGCGAACGGGUGAGUAACACGUGAGUAACCUGCCCUUGACUUUGGGAUAACUUCAGGAAACUGGGGCUAAUACCGGAUAGGAGCUCCUGCUGCAUGGUGGGGGUUGGAAAGUUUCGGCGGUUGGGGAUGGACUCGCGGCUUAUCAGCUUGUUGGUGGGGUAGUGGCUUACCAAGGCUUUGACGGGUAGCCGGCCUGAGAGGGUGACCGGCCACAUUGGGACUGAGAUACGGCCCAGACUCCUACGGGAGGCAGCAGUGGGGAAUAUUGCACAAUGGGCGGAAGCCUGAUGCAGCAACGCCGCGUGCGGGAUGACGGCCUUCGGGUUGUAAACCGCUUUCGCCUGUGACGAAGCGUGAGUGACGGUAAUGGGUAAAGAAGCACCGGCUAACUACGUGCCAGCAGCCGCGGUGAUACGUAGGGUGCGAGCGUUGUCCGGAUUUAUUGGGCGUAAAGGGCUCGUAGGUGGUUGAUCGCGUCGGAAGUGUAAUCUUGGGGCUUAACCCUGAGCGUGCUUUCGAUACGGGUUGACUUGAGGAAGGUAGGGGAGAAUGGAAUUCCUGGUGGAGCGGUGGAAUGCGCAGAUAUCAGGAGGAACACCAGUGGCGAAGGCGGUUCUCUGGGCCUUUCCUGACGCUGAGGAGCGAAAGCGUGGGGAGCGAACAGGCUUAGAUACCCUGGUAGUCCACGCUGUAAACGGUGGGUACUAGGUGUGGGGUCCAUUCCACGGGUUCCGUGCCGUAGCUAACGCUUUAAGUACCCCGCCUGGGGAGUACGGCCGCAAGGCUAAAACUCAAAGGAAUUGACGGGGCCCCGCACAAGCGGCGGAGCAUGCGGAUUAAUUCGAUGCAACGCGUAGAACCUUACCUGGGUUUAACAUGGAUCGGGAGCGCUCAGAGAUGGGUGUGCCUCUUUUGGGGUCGGUUCACAGGUGGUGCAUGGCUGUCGUCAGCUCGUGUCGUGAGAUGUUGGGUUAAGUCCCGCAACGAGCGCAACCCUUGUUCACUGUUGCCAGCACGUUAUAGUGGGGACUCAGUGGAGACCGCCGGGGUCAACUCGGAGGAAGGUGGGGAUGACGUCAAGUCAUCAUGCCCCUUAUGUCCAGGGCUUCACGCAUGCUACAAUGGCUGGUACAGAGAGUGGCGAGCCUGUGAGGGUGAGCGAAUCUCGGAAAGCCGGUCUCAGUUCGGAUUGGGGUCUGCAACUCGACCUCAUGAAGUCGGAGUCGCUAGUAAUCGCAGAUCAGCAACGCUGCGGUGAAUACGUUCCCGGG